Molecule: long non-coding RNA, 260 nt
Filed under: Solanum tuberosum (potato)
Lineage: Eukaryota; Viridiplantae; Streptophyta; Magnoliopsida; Solanales; Solanaceae
Description: long non-coding RNA (STUB_LNC009836)
Source: RNAcentral
UCCUAUGACCCUCCGUCAAAAAUGAUGUGAACAUGUACUCCAUGCAACUGAACUAUGUCAUGGAUGUAGAUAUUUGUUGAAUGCUCCAAUGUGUGAGUAGGCUGUAUCGAAAUGAAAUGUUCGGAGUUUGUGAGACUGGCUACAAUUACCCAAACAGACUAAUGCUUCCUCAAAGUAUAUCAGAAGCCUACCACAAAGUUUAUAGUGAUCUUAUCCAAUUUGCACUCAGAAUUUACCAGGUUCUGACCUAUCCCCCGGCC